CUUUGGAAUCUGGUGGUGGUGAGCUCAACUGUUUAACUAGCUCUUUGGUGUCCCUACAAUCAAAAACAACAAAAACGAUAAAGUGGUUAGUAGUAAGUCAUAUUCUGGAAAAAUAGAACUGUUUUUAGUGGCCAAUUAGUAUAUCUCAUGGAAUCAUCAUUGUUAUUAUAUCUCAAGGAUUUAGGUGUGGGUUGUGCUGGUCUGUGCCAUCUGGAACAUACCAUGCCAUUGCCAGGCUAGCAUGAGACAAAGCCAUGCACCAAGCACCCUGGGGUGCCAGUGCAUGUCAACAAUUGGCAGCACACAGCACAUGCUGUGGCACUGGGAUACAUACUUAGAAGCUUCUUAUAUCUUGGCCAGUGAGAAAAUUUCAGCUUGUCAUGUAAUUAGUUUUGUGUAUUUGUCACAUGUACAUAUGUAAAUUUAUGAUAGAUAUGGAUGAAGAAUGUCACUUAAAAUGGGUAUAUGAAUAGUUAAUACUUACUUGGAUAGAGUUGACUCCCUAUAAAUACAUGCAAAAUCUAUACCCAGUUGCACCUCCGAUGAUGUAGAAGUAACUUCCAACAUCCAUGUUGCAGGGUUGUAGUUAUCUUUGAUUUCUGGCACUCCAGGAAUACUCUGGAAAUAAGAAACAGAAGCAACCAAUUUAAAUAAACAUAAAGACCACAUGCAUGGAUGUUCUGCAAUUGAACUAAUAUGGAUGGAAAUAAAGUAGUUGGAUUGUGUUUCAGUUUAGCAAUCUGUUAUAUAAAUAUGACUAAAAUAUGAACAUAAUUUGCUAUAGCAAAUAUUGCAUUCCUCCCUUUGUUUAGACUCUUAAGUACAGGAAAUCUUGGAGUGUCCCCAGGUUGCAUGAUAUCAAUUGUGUAACAGAGUCUCAGGUUUUUCAUAGCUUCACCAUUUUUUUGUCAAAUUUGAUUUGUGGUUUUCCAGGUUUCUUACCAUGAUAUGGAAUCACAUCACACAAACUACAACUUGAGAAAUAUACUACUAGAGUUAUUGGGCUUCUUCCUUAUAAAACUGUUGCUACUUAAUCCUAAUCUACCUAUGCCUGUAUGGCUGGGAAGAAUCAAGCUUGCUUGAAGUUACCUGGCCUUUCCUUUAGGUGCAAGAAUCUAGCAAUCAUAUUGAUUUGCUUCUAAUCAAUUAUAAUCUUUCUGGUAUAGGUGUUAGUCUUGAACCUGUAGUAACAAAUAUAUUGUCAAGCUUCAUAUGCAUAAAUGCAUAUUGUGCACUAUGCUUUUAAAUUGAUGAAACAUUAGUUUCUGAGAACUGUAAGUGCACAAUUCUGAUAGGGUUCAUACAUCUAGUCUUUAGCAAAUCAAUAAUAAGGGUGUGUUGGAUGAAGAUAGGUAGGAUGUUCCUGGCAUUAUCUCCAUUGAACAAGCUGCAGGUACAAGAUCUCUUUGCAGUAUCCAGUAUUCAGUGAACUGGGGAGCCAUUGUUCUAAAAGUGGAUUUAAUUUUUAUUAAAGAAAAUUAGGUGCAUAUAUUUUUUGCUCCAAAGUUUCUUAAACUGGGAACACCAGUUGUUCUUUGUAGUUAUGAUCCUAACAGCCUAUCCUAUGAGAUGUACAUCAAUCGAACACUGUGCUAUAACAAUUCCCAUGUACAUAUAAUUUUUAUUUACCAAAAUUGAUGGGGUCAUAUGAUGCCUAUAUUUUAGCAUAUUCCUCUGCAUUGACAGUAUUACAGCAUUUAUGUAAAAAAUGGUAUGUUUGAUCAUGAGGUGAUCUGCUAUUUUCUCAAGUUAGAAUAAUAUGCUGUGAUAUAAUAGAACGCUUCUAGCACAACACAGAAAUCUCAUGAAGAAAAUUUACUCAGCUGAUGUGAAAACUUUUCCAUUGCUGAACUGACAUCUUGUAGGAUGACAGCAGCAGCUGCCCGUGAAUGGGGCAAUGGGAAUUUUAACACCAGCUUCGUGAACUUUCCAGUGAGAUGUUUGUGUUACCAAACCAAUCUAUAUAUUCUGCAACAAACCCCAUCAACAGAUCCUUCUCAAGACUUGCUAAAAAGGCAUAGAGUGAAGAAAGAACAGCCAAAUUGUUACAAGCAUUUGUAGGUAACAGAAAAAUCAACUCCAAUCCUUUAACGUAAUCCAGAUAGUUUUCAAAAAGAUAGAUGAUCAUGUAUAUGAAAAACUUGCCUCAAAGUAUUCAAUAACUUUACAGGAAUGCGGUCCCACUGGGCCAGUAUAGAUUAAUUCUCCUCCUCUCUUCAUUAAAAUCAGCUGCAAGAAAAUUAGAAAUGUGGCUUAAUGAAAACCAAAAAAAUCAGAUACACUAAGAACUUACCAAAAACAUAUUACAUGGAUAUAGUUUGUAGAGAUUAGAUUAAUACCUUGAAAAGAUAAAACCUUCAAGUGAUACUAGUCCCAGGAAAAAAACUUAAGGGGAAAAUAGAAGAACUAAUUACCUCAUCAAAUGCCUCAAAUAUCUCAAUGCUAGGUUGGUGGAUGGUGCAUACAACUGUUCUUCCUGUUUCAGCAAUAUUUUUCACUGCUCGCAUGACAAUUGCAGCUGCUCUAGCAUCCAGACCAGAUGUUGGUUCAUCCAUAAAUAUAAUAGAUGGAUUAGAAACAAGCUCCACUGCUAUUGUUAGUCGUUUCCGUUGCUCGGUAGAUAGACCACUAACCCCUGGUAUCCCAACUAACGCAUCUUUGAUUCCAUCAAGUUCAAUGACUUCAAGGACUUCACUUACAAAUUCCUGAAGAUAAUGGAUAGUUAUUUAAGUUCAAUAGAUAAAUACCAAAACAAAGGACAUGAAGAAUCAACAGUAGGAUCUAGUUCCAUAGUAUAUAAAAUGCUUCACUUGUGAGAGUUGUUAAGCUUUAGAAAAAAAUUAAGUGGCACAUUUUAUGUAUAAAGUGACUUACAGAUCUUGUUUUUGGAUCAACUUGAGGUGGCAGACGCAACCAAGCUGAAUACAUUACAGAUUCUUCUAUGGUAAUUUGUGGGGAAUGUAUAUCGGUCUGCUCACAGUAACCUGAUAUCCUAGCAAAUGUUUCCUGUACCUUGGGAUACCCUCCUAUUCUUAUAUCUCCUUCAAUUAUACCUCCAGUUUUCCUUCCAGCGAGAACAUCUAAGAGAGUUGUUUUCCCUGCUCCACUGACACCCAUCAAUGCAGAAAGAACACCAGGCUGGAAUGCACCAGUGAUAUUGUGAAGCAAUUGGAGCCUUUUUUCUGUAUAGCCUUGUUCUCUCAUUUCCUAGGACACAAGCAAAUUGUUCAUCAACUUUCUCAUAGUUAUUGCUAAUCUUAUACCACAACCUAAAAUGUCUGAUCAAUUUGACAUGAUUACCUGUGGAGUAUCAACAUAGUAUUGCACAUCCAGAAAUGCUAUUGUGAGAGGAAUAAAAGGUAAAACCAUCCUCCCUGCAACAUCAAAUAUGAUAUUUUUUGGUCUACUUUCUUGAAACAUUACUGCACAUUAUAUCCUUUGGUCUUGCACUAAAAAUGGGACAAAUGGUCUUACCAGUUUUGGGUUCUGAAGUAGUUGAACUAGGUGCAACAGGGGACAUAUUUGUCAGGUCUGUUGGGCUAGUGAGAUCUCCUUGUAUUAGAGAAAGCUUCUCACGAGAUAUUAUAGCACGAGAUGCCCCGAUAGCUGAACCAGGUUAGGUUUUUGUUAUUGCAAGGCAAAAUUAUGGUAGAGAUGUAUUUUGAUCUGGAUGGUUUGAUUGGUAGGGACGAACUUACAUCUUUUAUAUGUUAAUGCCAGAGUAAAUGCAGUAUUGAACAAAAGAAUGUAUCCAAGCAGUGCUCCUGCUGAAAUCCAAUAAAAGUAGCCGUUGUAGUUUAGUCCACGGCUUGUCAAGACUUGAUGUCCUAUGGUGGUGAUGUUUGCUGAUGAAGUCUGCAAAAAUAGAACGAUGAUAGCAGAAAGGAUAGUUAGAACAUUUGGAUCAUGUCUGUUCAUUCCAUAAGAACUAAGAGGACUUAUAUGAUCCAUUAAUAGGGUGCUUUUGUUUUCACCUUUUGCCAUCUUGGUGCAAGAAACUCAUUUACAGCUAAGCCUAUCUCUGCAUAUGUCAGUGGAGAGACCCAAAAUCCCCACUUCAACCAACCGGGUAUCGAGGCUGCAAUAGCAAAGCCACUAAGUAUGUUUAUCUUAGGAUGCUAGCUUAAUCAAUUAAAACAUUGGGAAUAGCCAUACGUCGUGGUAGAAUGAAGCCUCCAAACAUGAGUAUCAUUACUAAAGCUAAGGUACCAAUGAUGGUUGAAGUCACUAUUGUCUGGAAAUAUGAGGCAAUAAAAUGGUAGAGGGAUAGUGACAUUUGAUGGACGAGAAAAAAUAGGAGUAACUGGCGGAAGAAUCUGCAAGAACAUAAGAAGAAAAUGCUGGUUAGAAAUAACAGUUCUUAUGACACUGUUUAUCCACAUACUUUGAAAGAGUUUGAAUUCUUGGAUGACAUUAACCUUGCUGCCUCAGGACUGUACCCAAUAACAUAGUAAAUAAGAGAUGUCCAUACUACAGACUCGAUUAAAGAUAUGGGAAUCUUUAGGAUAGAAGCUGGAAUAGCAUAUGCCCAUGCAGGAUAGAAAUAAAAGUCCCUUUGUCUGUAGAAAACUGGAAGUCUUGAAGCUUGCAGGGACAACUGUGGGAUUCCAUUAACCAUAAAUAACAGCAGUCCAAAAUAGAGUGAACCUAGAUAGUAACUAGAAUGAACCAUAUCAAUUUCCAUUCGAGUACGCAAAAAUACAGUCAUUGCGAUGACUGCAGCCAUUGCAAGCUGCAAUUUAGGAUUUAAAAAAAAAAAAUGUGUCAGUUGCUGGGCAUCAGUGAGUUAAAGAAUGAUAGAGAGUAGCAGUAACCUGGAUUGUUUUGAAUAUAUAAAUGAACGAGUUCCUUUUCAUAAGAAGCAAUUCCCUUGCUGUGCAAGCUUUUAAUAGUUCCCAUGUUGACAGUGAAUAGGUAUUGAAGGAUAGAGCAUUCUUAUGGCACUGGGACUUGUCAUAAGGCUUUGAUAGCUCCUCAUCAAGACUCUGUCCAAUGUGAUGUGUUUUGAAUUUUUCCACAAAUUGAUCUACAGAAACAUAUCUAUAACACUCAUCUUGACGAGACCAGUACUGCUCUUGAUCGUUUCUAGACAAAACCUGAAUAUGAAAAAUUGAACAAGUUAGGUGAAAUAAAUACAGAAGGCAUGCAGGAAAAAUAUAUCAGACAGUGCCUAGAAAUUUUUUAAUUACCUCCUGUAGAAAAUCAGCUGCUCCUUUUCUUUCUGGGCAUCUGAAACCACAUUCUUCAAAGAAGCUGAGAACGUGACUAUGAGGGCCUUGGUACACAACUUUUCCUUCUGCCAUUAAGAUGAUGUCAUCGAAAAGAUCAUAGGUCUCAGGAGCCGGCUGAAGAAGUGAAAUCACUGCAGUAGAUUCUGUUAUAUGAGCAAACUGUUGGAGGCAAGUGACGAUUUGGAAGGUUGUGGAACUGUCUAAGCCAGUGGAUAUUUCAUCCAUAAAGAGAGCCUUCAUCGGUCCAACAAUCAUCUCUCCUAUUCGGUGCAAUCAAAAGAUAGUGUGCACAAUCAGAAAUCAAUUGCAAAAAGAUUUCAUCAAGUUUCAUGCACUAGAAAGUGAAGAUGAUCAUGCUAAAUAUUUUUAUCAGAAAACCAUGGAUGGCAUAUAAUCCUGAUGCUAUUAGCUUUUUCAUGGUACCUGUGGUCAGUCUUUUCUUUUCACCACCUGAGAUGCCUCUUCUCAUGGCAUCCCCUACUAUUGUGUCUGCACAGAUGUCCAGUCCCAUGAUCUGACAAGACAGAAUAAUUCUAAAAUAUUCUUCUCAGCAGUGACAGGAUUGAGGAUAAUAAAUAUAACCAUUUAUCUAUGAUCUGGAAGUAUGAUUAUUGUUCUGAAAAACAGAAUUACCUUCAAGAUGUAGUCUGUUUGGAGACUUCUUUCUAAUCCCUCCACUGAUAUUGCCUAUAGUAAACAAAAUGAAUCCUCAGACAUAGACUUGUCAUGGCUGAAGUGAAAAAGCUAUAGCACAUGGAUUUUGUACUUAACAUCGUAUUGGAUCAUUACCCUUAUUUUAUGAAAAAGUAAGGAUCACUGUGAGUGUGGGGCAAAUGUGUCACUUGAAUUAAUAAAUUUGUCUUGCUUCAACCAUCUUUUCCAUUUAUUCUAAACUGAAGAGUUUGUGAGAACUAAUGUUGUGGAGGAGCAAUAGGGAUUUUCUGUCAAUAGAUUCAAUUCUUAAGCACCAUCAGAGUAAAUGCUUUUUUUUCUCACAUAUACAACAAUAUUUUGAUUCUGUUGAGUAGGCAACUUUACAACUUGUUUGUUAUUUAAUCAAAAUGUCAAUGGGAAAAAAAUAAAACUCUGCAGUUCAUGUCUGUGGCAGAAGCCCCUUGAUGUAAUCAAGGAAGAAUAGAAAGAAAAGAAAUGGUAUGUUUACCUUCAUGUAUGUGUCUAUGUCAGGUUCCGGCAUAAUUCCUGCCUGCUUCUCCCGUCUACUCACCUCCUUCAUAAUUUCUUCAUAGCAUAAACUGGUCUUAGCAUAUAUUAUAUUUUCUUGGAUGAAAUCAAGUUAUUGCUACUCUCUGGAAGACAUUCUGGAGGACAUUUGAGAAACUUACCUGCUCUGCUUCCAACACCUUGAAAGCGUGCUGAAAAAUCCAAUGUCUCCCUCACUGUCAUUUCAGGAAUAUGUAGGUCAUAUUGGCUUAUGUAAGCUGAUGUUUUCUCAGGAACAAACUCCUCCAAUCCAAAGCCAUUAUAGGACACUUCUCCUUCCAGCUGUAAAAAGAGCUUGCUAACAUCAAGCACUGGACUAUGGCAAUGAAAAUCAAUCUUUUUGAUUCAGUUUGUCUUUCUCUUCUCAAACUACAAAUUUUGUAUAACUGGUGAUACUUCACAAACUAAUUAAAAGAUUCAUAAGGUCAGGAAAAAAAAAACUAUGCAUGAUUAUAUAGCAGUAUUUAUUUACUGAAAGGAAAGCAUAUUAGACAGUCAGACUACUUAGACAAGCAGAGAUGGUUUCGACAUGUCUGAGAAGCUGUAAUAUGAUUAGUUAUUUCCUGGUUGCAAUGGGUGUGCAAAGACAAUCACCUCCCAGCUAUAUUUCUUUAUGCUUUUCAUUGUUGAAGUAGCAGCUUGUGGAGGCCAAUGGCAUAUACUGUUGGAAAAUAAUGUAGUCUUAACUGAUAUGGACUAGAAUUAAGUGGAAGACAAACCAAGUAAGUCCCUGUACGGUAUUGAUGGCUGAGGUACAUCCUUUUGUUUUGAUACCUGUUCUCUAAAUCUAUUAUAGGUUUCGCAAAGAAGUUGCUUAGGUCAUAUAAGACACAAUAAAUCAGAUUGAUGAAGUUGAGAUGUGUAAUGAAAUGUUGUGCAAGCAUGUCAGGAAGCUCAAAUUUAAGGGAAGGAUUUAUUAGAUAACAAUGGGUCAGGACUUGUGGUGUGACUUGUAAUGUUGGACAAGAGGCUGAAUAGCACGGAAUAUGAGAAUCAUAAAGCCAAGGAAGUUAAAAAUGAGGAAAGAUGGAACUAGAAGUAAGUAAACUAGAGAAAGUUUCAGAGUUAGCCUAAUAAAUGAUAUAUUGAGAGAGAAGAUAUAUGAUUGCUUUAAUAUGAAAAUAGGAUCAUUUGCAUAUGAUGUUUAUUGGGUUAUAUGACUACGAUGCAUUCGUUGAUUCAUUCCCUGUUUUUUGGAUCUCCCAUAUUAAGACUUGUUCAAUUCUUUAACAAAUCUAGUUUGCAUAUCUGUACAUGAUGAUGAUAUUGAUUUAAACACUCCAGCUUUGCCUUAAAUUUUAGUUUGCUAUGAUGUAUGGGCCCCAGUAGAGGUCUAUACUUCUUUCUCUUUUGAUCAGGAAGACUGAACCAAGAUGUACCUUGGAAUAAGUCCAAAUGCUUUAACCAUGUUACGGACAGCAUGUAAAAUAAAAUUAAUAGGAAUACAAAGAUUAACAUCUGUAUUGCUAAUUAGAAAUAUUAACUUCUGUACAUGUGAAAUGGUUAAGUUAAAAUGGUUCCAAAUAAUUUAUCUUAGCAAUAUUCCUAGUGUAGCUGCAUUGGCAGCUGAAUAUUUGCCAUGACCAAAAUAUUUAGUUGAAGCCUGUAGGUAGAUGUUUCUGUUCAGAGCAGUCGUAACCAGUUGAAUAGGUUGAACCGUUCUCACAGGGUAUGGUGAUAUUGCCUUCCAAGGAAACAGUUAAGCUAUCAUGUCAGUUCUGUGGUUUUCUAGUUUAAAGUUGGAAGUUGGGGAAGGUUGUCUGAAUUCUAAUUGACAUCAUUUUUUGAACCUUCUAGAGAAAGAAAAUUGAUGCUAUCUGAUUUAUUAUUUUUCAGAAGAAACAUAAUUCAAACCUUGAGAGAUUUGUCUAGUUUCCCAGCCAGUGCAAGCAGCAAAGUAGUUUUCCCACAUCCUGGAGGCCCAAGUAAGAGUGUCAUCCUGCAGGUUGAACAACUCUAGGUCAGUAAAAAUUUAAACAAAAAAGAAUAUGAAAAAAUCCUGCCAGUAUUCUGCUUUUCAAAUAAACACAACUGAACAAAAGCAUUAUUUCUUCUUUCCACAGACAGUUAUCAAAGGGAUUUAAUCAGUGAGAAGGUAUAGUUUCAAGUAAUUUUAAAAAAAAAUAAAGGAACUACAAAUUGUCAUUUUCAUUUCUGAUAAAACUAUAGACAAUUUCUCAAAAAGGAAAAAGACAGACAAAAAAUUGAACAUAUCGUUUCAAAUGUUGAGUAGACAGAUAUCUAACACUUUCCUUGAGGGCUUUAUGAUCCCACUGACAUCUCUCAAAAUGCUAAUUUUAGCUUCUUCAGACUUCAGGCCUGGCAGCUUUGCAAGAUCCUGUUCCACAGGAAGUUCCGCAUUAGUCGCAUUGCAAAAUUGCAUCACCAUUUAAAAUGACUGCAUAAAUCUCCAUUAAUCUAUUCCUUAUUAGUCUCCUCUGCGAUCUGUUUACAAUCUGGGAUGAGGAUUAUAGGAACUCUGGCUUCGUAGGCACAAUCAGAUAUCUUAUGUGGACUUCAUAAAUCUCACUUUGCUUUUCUUUUCUUAUCAAGGACUACCGUCCCCAUUGAUGGUCUUAUUAUUAUUAUUAUUAUUAUUAUUGGUUUAGAAUGUCUAUGAUAAUCAGUGAUCUUACAUUUUUCGUUGCAUAAUACAACAAUCAUUGAGGUGCAGUAAUCUUAAAUAUGGAAUAUGUAUGUGUAAAACAUCUGAUAUAUCAGAUAUUGAAUGAUGUAUCAAUCAGUUGAAUACAAACAGUGAACCGGCACUGCUGUCUCUACCAUUCAUAAACAUAAGCAAACAGAAAACUACAGCUCACUUACUGAAAACUUGCUCUUGACAGCAUUCCAUAAAGUUGGGAGGGGCUUCCCAUGAACUACUACACACCCUGCUUCCACGCACAGAUUCUUGUAUCGCACUUCUAUAGUUGGCAGUUUCACAUUUACUCUGUAGAAAUUAUGGUUAUAGAUACAUCAAACUUAAUAUCUAUGGUUGUCUUAAUUCACAAAAAACUACAUAUACAUAUAAAACUGCAUGCUUAUUUACACACAUGCACAUUUGAUUGAUGCAAUAUUUUAUAUCUGAAAUUGGAAAGAGCAAUUUAAAAUUUGAUCUAAAAACAUGAAGCCUACCUGUCUAUUCUCUCUCUUUGCUUCCGGAGGAGCCGAAGGUUAUCAUUCUCGAUGUGCUUGAUGAGAUUCUCAAUGAACACACGUCUCUCUAGAGCUCCAAGCUUGGUAACAUCAAUUACAUUCUUCUCCUUCUGUUUUCCAUCAUCAUUUUGAUCAAUGUACUGAUCAAAGAGUGAUUUUCUUAUCCGUUCAAAUGUAGGCAACCUCUCAAUGGCAGCCCACUUAAGCUCAUCUUCUUCAUCAUCCUUUAUGGAACUGCUGAAACUUCUCCGAAAACUUGAUGCAGC
This 9871-nucleotide long non-coding RNA is filed under the name Elaeis guineensis (African oil palm). RNAcentral describes it as "long non-coding RNA (EGUI_LNC006087)". The record is from RNAcentral. Lineage: Eukaryota; Viridiplantae; Streptophyta; Magnoliopsida; Arecales; Arecaceae.